GAUCUUUCUUCUACUGCUUUCUUCUUUGACGCAUGUCCGGCUGGAACCCUAAACCGUAUCGAGCCUUGUGGUGUACUGGCUUUAGAGCCCUGACUAUUCCUUGCAGAUAUCUCCCUAAACCUCUUCUCGCUCGAGCUCCCCUUCCUAUAGUCAACUUGACACCCAUUCUGGUAUUUCUCGACAGUUUUGGCACCAAAAUUCUAUUUCCCUCAGUGACAAAAGUGGCAUUGAC
RNAcentral lists this long non-coding RNA (232 nucleotides) under Gossypium barbadense (sea-island cotton). RNAcentral's name for it is "long non-coding RNA (GBAR_LNC007011)". The record is from RNAcentral. Lineage: Eukaryota; Viridiplantae; Streptophyta; Magnoliopsida; Malvales; Malvaceae.